ACUCUCCGCCCUCCCCCUCCGAGGCGGGCGGGAACCGCGGGUCCUCUUAGCCCGCAGCUUCCGCCUGUCGCCGCACGGUCCUACAAGUCGAUACGGCGUUUCCUCUGUCAGGCCCUAGGGGAGCUCGCUUGCUCUGUGGAGGGUUGUAUGGCAGAAGAGCCGGCGGAGGGCCACGUGGCAGAGGAACCCUGGGUGGUUAUUGAGAGGAUGCCAGGGCUGCAGCCAUCUUAGAGAAGGUAAGAAUGGGGGCAGCAGGCCCUGGGAAACCCACCAGAGGAUGUGCUGCCCCUAGACAAUAAAGAGCCACAUAAAAAAACGAGUUCCAGACAUUUCCUGCCAUAACCUAAAGGAUAUGAUAGAUUAUAUACUAUAGGUAUCAAAGGGAGCAAGUUUACUGCAGAUAAGAAAUGGGAUGUCUUAUUGUCAGAGAAAUGGGUCUGCUGAUGAUAUUGAGUGCUAAAAGAUAAGGCAAUUCCCUUGAAGCUGCAACUCUCCAAUCAGUUCAAACCAAGCAUCUCUAACCUAAGCAAGAUCAGAGCAUCAUGCAUAAAUAGAGAAAAAUGGUAGCUAAGAAGAGAAGGAGCUUUGGAUGGAGAAAUAUAAAUAACAAACUAAAAGAAGAGUGGAAAUAUGGGAGUCGUCUCUACAGAGGGUGUUGUCCUUACUCACAUGGUCUGAGUUCCAGUCUGUGGGAAGGGAGAAAGUAGGACUGAAGGACAAAAAAUUUUCUUUCAAGUAAUUGAUGUGGAAGCUGUGCAUCUCAUGAUUCAAUGGAACCCUGGAAAAGGUGGGAGCUGGCCUCCCACAAUGGAUAAAUGACUCAGUGUCUAAGAGCACUUGCUGCUCUUGCAGAAAAUUUGGGUGGAGCAUAUCACUUAGAGAAAACAGUACACAUACAUCCCAGGAUGACUCCAGAGGACAACUGACUUCUCAGAGGCCCUUUGAGAACAGUAUCUUGCCAUCUCCUGAGGAUUCAGCAAGCAGCUACAGGACCAUGUGGGACCGGAGAAACUUAUGCUACAAGAAUGCAUAAAGGAAAUGUGGCAUAUUUACACAAUGCAGUAUUACUCAGCUGUUAAAAACAAUGACAUCAGGAAAUUUGAGGGCAAAUGGAUGGAACUAGAAACAGUCAUCCUGAGUGAGGUCAGAUAGAAACCUGGUGCAAGUGAAGCUCCCACAAAUCUACAAGGAUGACCCAGCUAAGACUCCUAAUAAUAAUGGAUAGGUAGCCUGAACUGACCAUCUCCUGUAAUCAGGUUGGUGACUACCCACCCCAAUUGUCACCAGAUAGCUUUCAUCCAGUAACUGAUAGAAACAAAUGCAGAGACCCACAACUAAGCACUGGGCUGAGCUCAAAGGAUCCUGAUGAAGAGAGGGAGGAAGGAUUGUACAAGCCAGGGGGGGUCAAGAUCAUCACAAGAGAACCCACAGAAACAUCUAACCUGGACUUAUAGGAGGUUAUAGUCUGGACUGACAGCUAGGGAGCCUACAUGGGAUUGACCUAGGCCCUCUACAUAUGUGUGACAGUUGGGUAGCUUGGUGUAUUGUGGGACUCCUAGCAGUGGGAGCAGGGCUGUCCCUAAUGCUUUGGCUGGCUUUGGGGAACCUACUCCUCAUACUGAAUUGCCUUGACCAGUCUUAAUACAAGGGGAGGAGCUUAGUCCUACCUCAACUUGAUAUGCCAUGCAUUGUUGAUACCCAAGGGAGGCCUGCCCUUUUCUGAACAGAAACAGAGGAGGAAUAAACUGGGGGGAGGAGCAUGGAGUGGAAGUGGGGGAGGGAAUGGAAAGAGAGGAGGGAGGGGAAACUGCAGUCAGGAUGUAAAAUAAAUGAAUAAAUUUAAUUUAAAAAAGUGUAUCAGGAGCCAUCAAAAUGUUCCAAAAAUGUGUCUGAAAAAUAUUUCUCUGGUGGCCUAGCACCAAGUCAGUUCUCAUCUCCUUUCUUGCUUGUAGUUCUCAAAAAUAAGCAUGGAAUAUUAUGGAAGACAAUACAGGGAUGAAACUAUCCAAGACAGCCUGGGCCUGAUCCUUUCAUCCUAUGGAAUGUAGCACCUUGAGUCAGAGAAGCACUGCCCAGACAAAACAGACCUUUGUUCUCUCCUCUGGGAGCAAGAUGUCAUUUAAAGUUUUGAUAUGGGUUCCUAAGUAGUUUAAUUACAGGGGGUAUGCUUGGUAUAUAUAAGGUCCUGGGUCCCAGCACCAAAACCAAAACAGAACCAAUGAACCAAACAAAUAAACACCCUUGCCUAGUGAUUCAUGAUGUGCCUAGGGUAUACACUUUGGGUAGGCUGCCUUUUCCAGUUCUUUAACUAUGGAGCCAGUGGUACAUGGUCUGUCAAUAAUCUACCCAAAUGUUGUGUAAAGUUUCUUCCAAUAGUGAAACAUUCCAUCCAUCAGGGAAGCUCCCUGUGAUGGCUAUUCUUUGUAUCAACUUGACUAUAUCUGGAAUUAACUUAAACCUAGGCAGCUGGGUACACUUCUGAGGGGAUUUUUCUUAAUUAAAUUAUUUAAAGUGGGAAGACCCACCCUAAAUCCAGAUCUUUUGAGGUGAGAUCUACCUUAAUUCUGAGCUCCGCCUUCUGCUGGCAGCCUAUAUCUUUUGCCUGUAUGUCCUUUGUUCUGUCAAGCUCAUUCCUUCACUAGCAUAGGAGCCUACUUCUUCAGGAUUCCAGAGGAUUACAUUCUUUUUUUUUUGUUUCUUUUUUUUUUAAGAUUACAUUCUUAAUGCUAGCCACCAAGGCCUAUUCCUUUAUUUGGCCACUUCCUCCUCCUGGGGCUGACUACUAAAGUCCAGCUAUCAAAGUAUUAAAGUCUAGCAAUCAAAAGCCGCCAUUUGGCUACCCUAAUUAACAUGCCCAAUCAAAAUUAAACACCUCAUCCUAACAUGGGGUUUCCCCUUUUACCUUUAUAAGCUGCCAUUUGCCUAUGGGUCACAUCUGCCCUCUCUAUCCAUAGGCAGUCCUUUGUCCCUUCAGGACAAAUAUCCCUUCCUCCUGCCCCUUGUCCUCUAUGUUCUGCCCUUUGUCCCUCUGGGACAAAUAAAUAUCUGUUGUGCUGAGAA
Molecule: long non-coding RNA, 3060 nt
Organism: Peromyscus eremicus (cactus mouse)
Lineage: Eukaryota; Metazoa; Chordata; Mammalia; Rodentia; Cricetidae
Exons: 8
Source: RefSeq, a predicted model, not a curated record